This 3004-nucleotide long non-coding RNA is filed under the name Linum usitatissimum (flax). RNAcentral describes it as "long non-coding RNA (LUSI_LNC005410)". Lineage: Eukaryota; Viridiplantae; Streptophyta; Magnoliopsida; Malpighiales; Linaceae. The record is from RNAcentral.
CUUGUGGUACAUUUGAGAUCUGGAGUAUUUACCCACACCCCUAAUCAGGUCGGGGUUCCUGCUAACCUUUGGAGUCUUCCUUGGCGCCAUUGAUGAAACUUGGUAGUCGGCGAUGGGGGGCUCAGGGUUUCCGCAGCAAAUUACACUCUAGGCUUUUGAUACAUAUGGCGGACAGUUAAAUUAUAUAUGAGAAAGGGGAAUCCCUAAAACCCUAGCCAAAAUGGGUUAAUUUACACCUUGAGUCCGAACAUUUUGUCCCAUUACAUAGAUAUCUCAGAAGUUUAAAAUCCGUCACAUCAGGCCCAAAUGUUAAUACCACUUCAUCUUAGCAAUUCCAUCCGAUUCCGUCAAUAAUUUCCAUCCAACUCACCUCAUGGGACAGCUUUCAUGUCAACCUUUCGCCCACUUACUGCCCAAUAAUGAGUUUUUUUUUUGAGAAACGAUUAUUCGACAUGUUAAUUUUUUAUAAUUUAGUUUACUUAAAUUUCGAUUUUGUGUCAACGAGUGAGUGUCUCAGUGGUAGGACAAAGAGAUUGUUGAUCGCGAGUGCGCAGGUUCGAUUCAUCACUCCGCUGAGGAUUUCUUCUAAGACAUUUCGAACCCGACUUCGGCUGAGUAAACGGGAUAGUACGCCCCGAGAUUUGACUUGAAUCUGGCAUCACUCUAUGUGGUGACCGGGUAGGGUAUUCCACGUCAUCAAAAAAAUCGAUUCUAUGCAAGGACAAGUUCCCACAUAAAACGAUUAAAUAUUCUUUUCCUGAAAACAACCUACUACGUUAUCUUUUAACUCCACCUUAAUAAUUGAGUCCAGAAUGAGUUAUUGGGCGAAAAAACUGAUGUGGAGAGAUGAGAUGACUAUUCCAAAAGGUAACAUAGACGAUAAUUAUCAAAAGCGUCCGACGAAAAUGUGAGAUCAAAUUGUAUCAACGUCGGGGACUGGCAUGGUGGAUUAUAAAACUUGAUGAAAAUGGGAGAUCGAGUUGUAUCAACGUCGGGGACUGGUGACGACGGAUUAUGAAACUUGGAUACCGUCAUAGCAAUAUGCGGAAACAUUCGGGACUCUUGAUGUCAAUUACAUGAUGUAGUGGCUAAAGCGUUUUGGGCUUUUAAGGUGUAAAAGAUGUCUGUUGGGCCUAAUGACCCAUUCGGUUUGGUAACUUGUUUAAUGUUUAGCCUAAUUUCAAAAUAUUCAUAUCCAAGCCUUACGAAGUAUUGCUGGAGUUAUUGCUGUGUUCGUCAACAGUGAAGGAGCAGGCAGCUGGACAUCAAUGGAGGAGAAGAACAAGAUAGUAUAGUUUAACAGUUAAUGCAAAAAACUCCAGAUUAUAGCAUUUGUAACAAAUUGUCAUUAAACCAAAAAGCAAGUUGUCUAUCACAAAAUUAUAACUCACUACAAACAUUUAGAAUCUGCUGGUCCAAACAAAACUCGAGCUGACAAAAGGAAACGGUUCAAACAAUCUCUGCUUAAAACACAAGCUCAUGGGGCUUCAUGCCUGCCUUCAAAGAGAAUCUUGCACCCAAGUAGGACUUCAAAUCUGGGACAGCCUCAACUGCCUUGAGCAAAGCAGCAUCAACUGACUUCUGGUCAUCCUUCUUGCCUUGGGGAAGCUCACUCUUCUCCUGUACAUAGAAGGAAACUGUCAAUAACUUUAUGAAAGUUUCAGCAAUUCACAUGGACAUGAAAUUUCUUAACAAAGAUACCUCCUUCUCUUCCUCGAAGAAUUCUCCCUCGCUCUUCUUCUUCUUCUUUUCACCAGUCUUGGCAAAGUAUUUGUCGUCAAACUUAUCCACGUUAGCGCCAGAAAUGUCGAGCUUUGUGGAAGUUCCGAUGACGUAUGCUUGGUUUACCCGCCUCAGAGGAACCCCAUUGAUCUUGAAUGGCCCUGCAUAAGAUGUCCACAUGUUAGUGUUAAAAGUCAAAAUCAAAAUGCAUGGGCAGCAUCAAACUAGUAUACAAAACAGACAAAGCAUGUUCAUUUCCACAGUCACAAGUACCAAACUAGACAUCACCUAUUGCAACACAAAAAUUACAUCAAACUAUAAAGAGAUAUAACAAUCGAGAACAGCAGACACUUCAAUAGAGAGACUGGCAAUAAUGAAGUGAAAUUAAUAUCAACAUAAUAUCAGCAUGCUUCAUGAAUAACGCAUACUAAAGUUAAAGGCUGGAGUUUUACUAAAAAACAAUGUAUGCAGCACAAAAAGAUAUCUAUACUCAAAUGAUUAUGAUCUGUAAAGCAGCUGCAGUAGGAAUAGAACAUGAAAAUACUGACCAGUGACCAAAAGCAAGCCAGAAGGAAGCUGCUUGAGGAACACAACUCUCUUUCCUUUGAACCUUCCAGCAAGGAGGAUCAAAACAGUUCCUGGGGUGAUGCUAGCCCUGCAUGAGUGAACAAUAAAGUGGAAAUUAACAUAAAUAGAAUAAACGAACAAACAACUGCAUAUUACAAGUUAGCACAUAGGUUCGCAACAUAACCAAUUCAGUGAUGAACAGAUAUGAAAAGUCCUUAAUGAUUAAUUCAUGCAAUGAGGGAUGACAAAAAAUAACCAACAGAUCUAUACACAAAUUUAUCGGCGAUUUCGUCCAUAUUUACUGUACGAUAUGAAACUGUAUCAGCUAGAGAGGUAAACCAAAAAGCAAUACUUGAGCUUGGUGGGUUUGGGCUUGCGCCUGUUGGGAAGAGGAACUUUGACAUCGUCAGCAGGGUAGAACUUGGAGGCCUUCUCUGCAGGGGCGACGACCUUAGGUUUGGGAUCGUGCUUGGGGAAGAAACCGCCGUUCUUAGCCUUGAUUGCCCAUAAACCACGCUUGUGGUACAUUUGGGACCUGGAGUAUUUACCCACACCCCUGAUCAGGUCGGGGUUCCUGCUAACUUGUGGGGUCUUCCUCGGCGCCAUUGUUGAAGAUUGAGAGACGGCGAUGGGAGCUCAAAGUAUACGCAGGAUUCGGCGACUGAACAACAAAUUUAUAUAUGGAGAGUGGAGACCAGGAGAAGGAACCCUAAAA